This 72-nucleotide transfer RNA is filed under the name Ovis aries (sheep). It matches the Rfam family "tRNA". Rfam says of the family: Transfer RNA (tRNA) molecules are approximately 80 nucleotides in length. Their secondary structure includes four short double-helical elements and three loops (D, anti-codon, and T loops). Further hydrogen bonds mediate the characteristic L-shaped molecular structure. tRNAs have two regions of fundamental functional importance: the anti-codon, which is responsible for specific mRNA codon recognition, and the 3' end, to which the tRNAs corresponding amino acid is attached (by aminoacyl-tRNA synthetases). tRNAs cope with the degeneracy of the genetic code in two manners: having more than one tRNA (with a specific anti-codon) for a particular amino acid; and 'wobble' base-pairing, i.e. permitting non-standard base-pairing at the 3rd anti-codon position. Lineage: Eukaryota; Metazoa; Chordata; Mammalia; Artiodactyla; Bovidae. The record is from Rfam by way of RNAcentral.
UCCCUGGUGGCUCAGUUGGUAAAGAAUCUACCUGCAAUGCAGGAGACCCAGGUUUGAUCCCUGGUUUGGGAA